GAAUUGCCACGUGUUCCGGUAGAGGAGUAUAAGUUCGGGUUGACUGUAUAUUUAUACAUUUGAUCGUAUAAAGUAAAUUUAAAACCAAUUAAAUAACAAAUUAAUCCAUUUAUACUCUCUAAUAUAGAUCAUUAUAUACCUUUUGACCAUAAAUAUACAUGUAAGCAAGAACAAAAUAAAAGAAAACCAAAUUGAAAAAAUAAAAGCCAAAAAAAAAACAAAAACUAAUUGAAGAACAAAUUGAGAGAAAACCCAUAACAAGAGCAGCAAACCCAGAUCUAGAAACAAAGCAACCUACCUGAAAUUGAAUCCGGGCCAUUAAUUUCCCUUCCCUAUAUGUUCAUCUUCAUCCCCUCCACUUUUACUCUUAAACCCACUUUUUUUCUCCUCCAUUGUCGCUCUAUUUGGGUUCUAUUUUCUGCUUGUUCUGAUCUCAAAUAAUCCAUGAAAUUGCAUCAAUUGAUCUCAUUUUCUUCAACACUUUAAUAUCCAAUCAAAUCAGAUUUUGCUCAUCUCUCUUUCUCUCUCUAGAAAUCAAAACCUACAAUAAAGCAAAAACAAAUCAAAUUCACAAAAUUGAAAAGAAGAAUGCCAAAGUACUGUGAAAUUAUGGUUUUCAAACUUAUUGGAAGGGCUUUUCAAACUCAAUUUGUGGCAGACCCUAUCUCCAUGUCCGGUGCCAUCCCCAUGUCCUUGUUUUUUCUUUGAAACGAUGAUACCUAAUCAUUUCUUCCACUGCCUCAGCCAACCUGUUCACAUCAAAACUCCAAAUUCAUUAUUGAAGUUAGUGAAGAGGAAGAUUUUGAGUGGAGAUAUUUUUGGGUUUAGUGUAUCUAUAAGAUGAAGAUGAAUCUUAGGAGUAGAGAUGUAUUUGAGUGUAGGAGUAAAGAAAAAACAGAUCUGUAGUUUAUUUGGGUAGAUGUGUU
Molecule: long non-coding RNA, 926 nt
Filed under: Panax ginseng (ginseng)
Lineage: Eukaryota; Viridiplantae; Streptophyta; Magnoliopsida; Apiales; Araliaceae
Description: long non-coding RNA (PGIN_LNC003108)
Source: RNAcentral